RNAcentral lists this microRNA (24 nucleotides) under Glycine max (soybean). Its description in RNAcentral is "gma-miR4383". Lineage: Eukaryota; Viridiplantae; Streptophyta; Magnoliopsida; Fabales; Fabaceae. The record is from miRBase by way of RNAcentral.
UAUUGGAUCUCAGUUGAACCGGUC